RNAcentral lists this long non-coding RNA (2630 nucleotides) under Brassica napus (rape). Its description in RNAcentral is "long non-coding RNA (BNAP_LNC022378)". Lineage: Eukaryota; Viridiplantae; Streptophyta; Magnoliopsida; Brassicales; Brassicaceae. The record is from RNAcentral.
AGAAAUCUCUUCAUUGAUUAUAUGAUCAAGAAAAUCUUAUCAUUAUCAUUAUUUUCACUGGAUAAAUAUGGAAUAAUUCAAACUCAACUAUGGAAAUACUAGGGAAACAAGGUUUGAUCUUAGUCAACAUAAAGCAGUGAAACCAAAAGAAAAAAGAAUCACAUCACUGAUGGGUUCCUAAAGAAAACGUAAGAAUGUGCCUUUUGAGAACACUCUAAGUCAUCACUUUUGAGACAACACCAGCUCCAACUGUUCUACCUCCUUCCCUCAGAGCAAACCUUUGACCUGUUUUGAGAAAUAGCGAUAGCAAAUCAGAAACUGAAACAGUUGAAACACAAAAAGGGAAGAGUGUCUGAAAGAUUCUUGACCUAUUUCGAGUGGGACAGGCAUGAUAAGCUCGAAAACUGCAGUGACAUUGUCACCAGGCAUAACCAUCUUCACGUCUUGUGGUAACUCUACUCUUCCCGUGAUAUCUGCAGUCCUCAAGUAAAACUGAGGCCUGUAGUUGGAGAGAAAAGCAGUGUGACGUCCACCUUCGUCCUUUGUGAGCACGUAAAUCUCCGCUUCAAACUUCUUGUAUGUCUUGCAUGAGCCAGGCUUAGCAAUUACCUAAUAAGCAAAAGCAUUAGUGUGCUCACAUUCAAUCAUCCACUAGUCAAAAUAAGGAUGCAUAAGCUUACCAUUCCACGCUGGAUGUCUUCUCUCUUUAGCCCACGAAGAAGAAGUCCUACAUUAUCACCGGCCUAACAUAAUGAAAGCCAAAGUUUAAUCAAGCAUGCCUAGAACCUGUCUUUGUAAUCUCUCGAUGGUGCCUUUACCUGUCCAUUAUCCAAAAUCUUCUUGAACAUCUCGACCCCAGUUACAGUGGAUUUCAUUGGAGGUCCCUGGAAAUCAAAUCAAGAAAAUGCUUAACUGUAAUCAUUACUUUGGUUGAAUAAACGCAGUAUUCAUACACACUCACGUCUUUUAAACCCAAUAUCUCGACUUCUUCACCCACUUUGAUGACUCCUUGUUCAAUCCGACCCGUUGCAACAGUUCCACGUCCCUUUAAGAAGAAGAAAACUAUCAGAACUUAUUUUCCGAAACAAGUGAGUGAAUGGAGAAAACGCCAAGGAUGCAGAUUAGUAUACCUGAAUCGAGAAAACAUCUUCAAUUGGCAUCAAGAAAGGCUUGUCCAGCACACGAACAGGGUCUGGUAUGUAUUCAUCAACAGCAUCCAUUAGCUUCAAUAUAGCUUGCCUUCCUAUUUCAUCGUUUGUUUAUUCUUGUUUUGUUUACAGGUCAUCAAAUUUGUGAAAAAGCAUGUUGGUAAUGAAAAUCCACAAUUAGCUGGAACUCUGUUUACGUUGAUUUCCUUUUCUUAAAGGUAUCUCGAAAGUUUUGAUUGUAAUCUGAACAAUUGCAUGUUGAUGAUUGUAACCAAUAUAUAAUGUGUGUGUGUUUACAGAAGUACAUGCCAGAUUUGGCUGCUCUUUUCCCUCAUGUACUUGUCGAUGUCAGUAGUGUCAAGUCUUUAUGCACCCGAUGGUUUCCCAGAGGUAAAAACAAAUAUUUAAAAGAAAAAAUUAUUUGAAAACAUAAAAGUUGCCUUGUGUAUGACAAUGAUACUUGUUUGGUUUGUUGAGCAUUAGAAAAAAACAGAGCUCCUGCAAAGAAAAACAAUCACAGAGCCAUGGAUGAUAUAAGAGAAAGCAUCAAGGAGCUUAAGUACUACAAAGAAACCAUAUUUAAAGCAAACAAAGGUAAGAUGUGAGGUGAGGUGAGAUUCGAGUGAAAGGGGAUAUUGAGAUUGUCGUUUAGGAGUCAUUCUCUUGAAUGUUUUGGUAUUAUGAAACCUAGUGACAUGAUCUUUAGUUAUUGAGACAUGUGUGUACUAAACUUUGUUAUCUUAAUCUAAACCAAACUAGUCACAUUGAUGAUCUUUAGUUAUUGAUGAUCUUUUGCCACAUUGAGAUUCCCUUUUCUCCCAGCCUUCACAUUCUCAAGGCUCAUCUGAUUUUAUGUAAUUACCAUAGAUUAGGCAUUGAUCGCAGCUGGCUGGCUGCUCCUUUCUUCUCAGUAACAUGAUGUUCCUGUAAAUUGAUCACCAUAUGCGUCAUGAUUUUUAAUACAGUUUAAACUUACUAUGUGACUUUUUCAUGGUCAUGCACAAGUAUAAACUACAAAAUCAUUAAAUUAUAAUUAGUUAAUGUGCCAUUUCCACUUAUUGAUAAAUUUUAAAUCUUUUUUAUAAUUUAUAUGUAGGAAAAGUAAAUAGAAUAUUGUGUAAAUUAAAUUAUGUUGUUAUCUUAGUUAACUAUGUGAUUAUGUAUAAUUCAGAUUGAUUCAGUUUUUCAUUUUCAAUAUAUUGGAUUGGUAAAAUAGUAAAUAGUUAAUGUUUUGCGCAGAGAACUAAUGUUUUGUAAGAAAUCUCUUCAUUGAUUAUAUGAUCAAGAAAAUCUUAUCAUUAUCAUUAUUUUCACUGGAUAAAUAUGGAAUAAUUCAAACUCAACUAUGGAAAUACUAGGGAAACAAGGUUUGAUCUUAGUCAACAUAAAGCAGUGAAACCAAAAGAAAAAAGAAUCACAUCACUGAUGGGUUCCUAAAGAAAACGUAAGAAUGUGCCUUUUGAGAACACUCUAAGUCAUCAC